AGCGUCCACCUUGACAAGCGAGGAUGCAGCAACUUACAAGUUUGUAAAAAGGAGGCAGCUCAGUGGACCACCCCCGCAGCCCCGACUGCCAGCAGCACGAGCAGUGGCAGACCACGCCGGGACACCAGCUGCGACUCUGCUCCAUCGCCCUCCGUAGUUGUCUCUUCGCCACCUCCGGCCGGUGCUGCUGCUCCGUCAGACGGGGAGUCAGAACCAGUCUCAGUAUCACCCCUCUUCUUCCUCACUAAAUAGAACGAGAAACACUUCUACAGUAAGCAAUUUCUUCCCUACCAAUUUGGAAGCAGUUAGUGACGAACACAGGUUCCAUCAGGACAUUUUGCAAAUGGAAAGCCAC
Long non-coding RNA from Schistocerca piceifrons (Central American locust), 355 nucleotides. RefSeq lists it as uncharacterized. NCBI's taxonomy places the organism in Eukaryota, Metazoa, Arthropoda, Insecta, Orthoptera, Acrididae. The transcript is spliced from 3 exons. The record is from RefSeq and is a predicted model, not a curated record.